CCUCCCUUUGACAUUGGGUGGACAAGGAGCAGUAAGGUCCUACUUAUAUGGGUUUGUUUCUGGUAGGAUUUAUGUAAGGCAACAUCAAUUCUGUGCCGAUCAUUUCCAUGGCAGAGUGCCUGACCUCCUGGUGCAAUUCUCAACCCCUGAGCAAGAGUUUUGUCUGAGCAGCCCCAAUGGUACUGAAUCACCAGCAGCCAAACUCCUGGCCAGAGAAGAAAAAUUCAGCACCCGAAUGUUAGUCCACUUUGUCAAAUCAACUGGCAGAUUCAGUAGAGGGAAAAGAAGAAGAGUUGACCAAGUGUGAAAAAGUUAAUCUCUGACUAUUAAAAAAGGUGCCUGCAUCAUCUCAAACAACGUUGACUAAUCGGGAUGAAAGAGGUGGCCUUGCCCUUGCCUGGCAGGAAUGGGUACUUCUCCAUCAAGUGUGUGGUUGAUUGGUUGUGGCAAAAAGGCAACCAUAUUGUGACAAUGUUCUUCUUUCUCUAGUUAACAAGGAGUAUUUAGCAGGGAUGAGUAUUGAGAUAGUAAAAUACCUUUUUAACUGA
This is a long non-coding RNA of Bubalus bubalis (water buffalo), 548 nucleotides long. RefSeq lists it as uncharacterized. NCBI's taxonomy places the organism in Eukaryota, Metazoa, Chordata, Mammalia, Artiodactyla, Bovidae. The transcript has 2 exons. The record is from RefSeq and is a predicted model, not a curated record.